Molecule: microRNA, 22 nt
Filed under: Macaca mulatta (Rhesus monkey)
Lineage: Eukaryota; Metazoa; Chordata; Mammalia; Primates; Cercopithecidae
Description: Mml-Novel-4_5p* (star (passenger))
Source: RNAcentral
UGCCCAGGCUGGGGCUGCUGCU